CCUUAUCAAGAGCGGCGGAGGGGACAGGCCCGAUGAAGCCCGGCAACCAGCGCAGAGAACCUGCGCAAGGUGCUAAAUCCUGCGGCGGAUCAGCCGGCAGAUGAGG
This 106-nucleotide non-coding RNA is filed under the name chicken gut metagenome. Its description in RNAcentral is "SAM riboswitch (S box leader)". It matches the Rfam family "SAM riboswitch aptamer (S box leader)". Rfam says of the family: The SAM riboswitch is found upstream of a number of genes which code for proteins involved in methionine or cysteine biosynthesis in Gram-positive bacteria. The record is from RNAcentral.